Molecule: ribosomal RNA, 827 nt
Filed under: uncultured Actinomycetes bacterium
Lineage: Bacteria; Bacillati; Actinomycetota; Actinomycetes
Description: bacterial SSU rRNA
Rfam family: Bacterial small subunit ribosomal RNA
Source: RNAcentral
CGCUGGCGGCGUGCUUACACAUGCAAGUCGAACGAUGAAAGCGGGAGCUUGCUCCUGCUGGAUUAGUGGCGAACGGGUGAGUAACACGUGAGCAAUCUGCCCCUGACUCUGGGAUAAGCGUUGGAAACGACGUCUAAUACCGGAUACGAGAUGAGACCGCAUGGUCAUCAUCUGGAAAGAACUUCGGUCAGGGAUGAGCUCGCGGCCUAUCAGCUUGUUGGUGAGGUAAUGGCUCACCAAGGCGACGACGGGUAGCCGGCCUGAGAGGGUGACCGGCCACACUGGGACUGAGACACGGCCCAGACUCCUACGGGAGGCAGCAGUGGGGAAUAUUGCACAAUGGGCGCAAGCCUGAUGCAGCAACGCCGCGUGAGGGAUGAAGGCCUUCGGGUUGUAAACCUCUUUUAGCAGGGAAGAAGCGAAAGUGACGGUACCUGCAGAAAAAGCGCCGGCUAACUACGUGCCAGCAGCCGCGGUAAUACGUAGGGCGCAAGCGUUGUCCGGAAUUAUUGGGCGUAAAGAGCUCGUAGGCGGUUUGUCGCGUCUGCUGUGAAAAUCCGAGGCUCAACCUCGGACCUGCAGUGGGUACGGGCAAACUAGAGUGCGGUAGGGGAGAUUGGAAUUCCUGGUGUAGCGGUGGAAUGCGCAGAUAUCAGGAGGAACACCAAUGGCGAAGGCAGAUCUCUGGGCCGUAACUGACGCUGAGGAGCGAAAGCGUGGGGAGCGAACAGGAUUAGAUACCCUGGUAGUCCACGCCGUAAACGGUGGGAACUAGAUGUAGGGACCGUUCCACGGUUUCUGUGUCGCAGCUAACGCAUUAAGUUCCC